Molecule: ribosomal RNA, 408 nt
Filed under: uncultured bacterium
Lineage: Bacteria
Description: partial 16S ribosomal RNA
Rfam family: Bacterial small subunit ribosomal RNA
Source: RNAcentral
GACGAACGCUGGCGGCGUGCUUAAUACAUGCAAGUCGAACGAAGUGGCGAACGGGUGAGUAACGCGUAAUCAACCUGCCCUUCAGAGGGGGACCACAGUUGGAAACGACUGCUAAUACCGCAUACUGAAGGAGGGGACUGCGUCUGAUUAGCUAGUUGGAGGGGUCACGGCCCCCCAAGGCGAUGAUCAGUAGCCGGUCUGAGAGGAUGAACGGACAGAUUGGGACUGAGACACGGCCCAGACUCCUACGGGAGGCAGCAGUGGGGAAUCUUCCGAAAUGGACGAAAGUCUGACGGAGCAACGCCGGGUGAGUGAUGACGGCCUUCGGGUUGUAAAGCUCUGUUAAUCGGGACGCGGUACCGGAAUAGAAAGCCACGGCUAACUACGUGCCAGCAGCCGCGGUAAUUC